GAUGAACGCUAGCGGGGGGCUUAACACAUGCAAGUCGAGGGGUAAAUGGUAGCAAUACUAUGAGACCGGCGGACGGGUGCGUAACGCGUAUGCAACAUACCUUGUGCAGGGGGAUAGCCCGUGGAAACGCGGAUUAAUAUUCCAUAGUCCAGCUAUAUCGCAUGGUAUAGUUGGUAAAGAUUUAUCGGCACAAGUUUGGCAUGCGUCUGAUUAGCUUGUUGGUAGGGUAACGGCCUACCAAGGCUACGAUCAGUAGGGGUUCUGAGAGGAUUAACCCCCACACUGGUACUGAGACACGGACCAGACUCCUACGGGAGGCAGCAGUGAGGAAUAUUGGUCAAUGGGCGGAAGCCUGAACCAGCCAUCCCGCGUGAAGGAAGACAGCCUUACGGGUUGUAAACUUCUUUUCUGUCAGAAGAAUAAGCUUGUCGAGACGAGUGAUGCCGGUAUGACAGGAAUAAGCAUCGGCUAACUCCGUG
Molecule: ribosomal RNA, 479 nt
Filed under: uncultured bacterium
Lineage: Bacteria
Description: bacterial SSU rRNA
Rfam family: Bacterial small subunit ribosomal RNA
Source: RNAcentral